Molecule: long non-coding RNA, 2177 nt
Filed under: Nicotiana benthamiana
Lineage: Eukaryota; Viridiplantae; Streptophyta; Magnoliopsida; Solanales; Solanaceae
Description: long non-coding RNA (NBEN_LNC012093)
Source: RNAcentral
ACCAGAUGCUGAGCUCUGAGCUCACGCAGGCCAAAAAACAAUGCGACGAGCUAGUGGCUUUCUUGAAUCAGUAUGUGAAGGUUGCACCUGACAUGAUCAACCGUAUCAUGAGCCAAGGAACCUCAGGGUCCAGCCAUGGGGAGUUGGUCAAGGAGGUAAUUGGUAUUGUUAACUAUUUAGUAUAUAUAUAUGACAAGAUAGAAGGGGAAUUUUCAAUUAACGAAAAAAUGUCAAUGUGUGACUUGUUCCAGCUGUGAAAUAAUUCUUUCUUUUUCGGAAUCAUGUGUUACAUAGAUAUUUUGUGCAUUGGCGUUUUUUAAAAAUAUAUACGAGUUACAUAUUUUGAUGUAAAUUUCAUAUUUAAAAUAACCAAGAAUAAUUCCAUAGGAUUUUGAGCUAGGAAAUCUCUAGAAACAAUGCCUCAUCCUCACCUGCCGGAAUGAUCCUUGUGGAUUUUUGAUAUGUCAUCUUCGUUUCAUAACCCGAAAAGAUCCAAAGGUCACAAUUGGUGGCUAACCCCAAUUGGGAAGCGUGGAUCACGAUUUUUGUCCCUAUCAGAACGUUCUACUGCUAGUAAAAUUGUCCUAUCCGUAGCUGGAAUUUGUUCAGAGAUAUUUUUGUUUUUUCAUUAUUUAAAAUUAUUUAGUAAUCUAGUAUAUCUUGAAAGGAAUUUCAGAAUCUGAUUGGUCAGAAUAUUUGAAAUACUAGUGAAAUAUACUAUUUUAAGCGAAAUAAUAUAUUUAAUUCAUAAAAUAAUACUCCAAUUUUUACCCAUUAAUCCUUUUUUUUCAAUAGAAUUCAAGUCUUAAAUUUCAACUACUCUGUCCUACUUCCGCUUUUAGUAUUCUUUUUUCUUUGUCUGCAACUAAACAUUGUCUAAAUGCCUUGUAAUAUUUUCAAUAUUCCAAUUUAACGGCAGUGUGAACAUUAUUGGUCAAUUUUAGCUGCAUUGCUUUCGCGUAAGUUGGGCUAUUAAAGUCUUCCCAAUCUUCCUAAGUGGUUUUGGUCUUAUUUUUAGUCGUUGGGAUAAGCUGUAUUAAACCCUCUAGAAGCAUAAAAGGCAAACGUUCACUAUCAACAAAGAGGCAAUAAAGCAAUCGACAAUUAUUAAAUUAAAAUUAAGAAAACAAGAAAUAAAUAAUGGAGAUGACUAAUUGAAUCCUACUCCAAGAGCCUAUGGUUAUAUUUUCCUUCAUUUUGUUAAUUGUGAGUGCGGCAUGUUGCAACUCCUGAACUUAUUAUGCUGUGAUAAUCUCACUUAGAUACUGUUUUUUCCUUAUUUAGAAUUGUGAUGUCCGGGUCAACUUGCGUUUUUCUAGAGUACAUGAUUACCUCCUACCAAUAUAGGUACGGAAUAACUCUGCAACUCGUUUUGAUGCCACUUGCAAAUAUCAAAUCCAUGAUAAUCUAUUUUGAUUGAGAGGAUAGUAUGUUUCUCCAGCUUUACAUUCACCCAAAAGAGCAAUCCUUUUCAUUAAGGUGUGUUGGUGAAUAGCAACAGCUCAGUGACUGUCACAAAAAACAUUUCGAUUUUGUUAUGCACUAAGUGGACUUUGCUUAUAUUUGCAGGGCUUUAGAAAGAUUGUGCCAGACAAAUGGGAAUUCGCCAACGAGAACUUCCAAAGAGGACAGAAGGAGCUCCUCACGGCAAUACGCCGUCGGAAAACCGUGACACCAACCCCAGCUGGUGGUAAGUCCGUGGCACGAGGCACAUCAGCAUCUCCGGACAAUUCGGGGGAAGACUUAGGUUCAAGUUCAACCUCAUCCCCGGACUCUAAGAACCCGGGGUCAGUUGAUACCCCGGGAAAGUCCCAGUUUGCAGACUUGUCGGACGAAAACGAGAAGCUAAAGAAAGACAACCAGAUGCUGAGCUCCGAGCUCGCGCAGGCCAAGAAACAGUGCGACGAGCUAGUGGCUUUCUUGAAUCAGUAUGUGAAGGUUGCACCUGACAUGAUCAACCGUAUCAUGAGCCAAGGAACCUCAGGGUCCAGCCAUGGGGAGUUGGUCAAGGAGGUAAUUGGUAUUGUUAACGAUUUAGAAACACAAGGUAAUGAUGAUGAUCAAGACGAUGACGAAAAGGGUGAUACUCUGAAACUGUUUGGUGUGUUAUUGAAAGAGAAGAAGAAAAAAAGGGGUCCAGAUGAGAAUGCUGAUAUUUCUGGGUUCCGUGGGAAAAU